CUUGAGAGGCCCUGGGCUUGUUUUAACAUCUGGAAAAAAGGCUGUUUUUAUAGCAGCGGUUACCAGCCCAAACCUCAAGUUGUGCUUGCAGGGGAGGGAAAAGGGGGAAAGCGGGCAACCAGUUUCCCCAGCUUUUCCAGAAUCCUGUUACAAGGUCUCCCCACAAGUGAUUUCUCUGCCA
This 181-nucleotide unclassified non-coding RNA is filed under the name Mus musculus (house mouse). RNAcentral describes it as "partial derived from hnRNA or mRNA fragment, or novel small non-messenger RNA without known sequence-or structural motifs". The record is from RNAcentral. Lineage: Eukaryota; Metazoa; Chordata; Mammalia; Rodentia; Muridae.